AUGUUGCUAGCCACAACACAAAGCACCAGAACACGCAGAGAAGAGAGAGAGAGAGAGAGAGAGAGAGAGAUGGCAGCCAGCAGCAUGAGCAGGGACGAGAGGUGGAACCUGGCCGGCGCGACGGCGCUCGUCACCGGCGGCAGCAAAGGGAUCGGCCACGCGAUCGUGGAGGAGCUGGCGGGGCACGGGGCGCGGGUGCACACGUGCGCCCGGAGCGCCGCGGAGCUGGAGGAGUGCCGCCGCCGGUGGGAGGCCAAGGGGCUCCCGGUCACCGUCUCCGUCUGCGACGUCUCCCUACGCACCCACAGGGCGCAGCUCAUGGAGACGGUUAAGCAGGUCUUCGACGGCAAGCUCGACAUUCUGGUGAACAACGCGGCGCAGAUUGUUGCCAAGGUGAGCGUGGAGUGGACAUCGGAGUACUCACACCUGAUGGCGACCAACUAA
Molecule: ribosomal RNA, 444 nt
Filed under: Triticum aestivum (bread wheat)
Lineage: Eukaryota; Viridiplantae; Streptophyta; Magnoliopsida; Poales; Poaceae
Description: partial small subunit ribosomal RNA
Source: RNAcentral